GUGUGCAGUAAAAGCAAAUUCCUGACACUCAUCUCCCCAGGAACCUGCUGAAUCAUAAUUUCAGAAUACAAAACUCAAAGAAAAAGACAACUCACAAAAUAGUCAAAGCAUUUUGCAGAUACAAACGAAUUAACCAUCUGGAACCACCUAAACAAGACUCAUUUCAAUACUGACAAUCUGCUAUAAACAUGAAUAAACAAUCCAGUUGUGACUCAGAUUGAGGGAAGAUAAGGGUUUUAGAUGAAUUAUUGAGAUGGUUAUAGAAAAAAAAUUAUUAGCAGAUGCAAUAACCACAGAAACAAACAAGGAACCUUAUACUCCAAGGAUACUACCCAUGAAUCCUACCCUAUUCUCACUAGUGGUUAUCAAUUUAAUAUGAUGCAUUUCACAGACACAGGCAUAUUGCAGAUCUCAGAGUUAUGCCAUUAAUCAAAUCAUGCAUAUGCUUCAACAGCCAAAUGGUAUCUCAUCUAAUCUAGAAAUAAGAUGUGCUGAAUCUUUUUUUUAUUACAUGCUGUUUGGAUACAUAUAAUGCAGGCAAUAGAUUAAUGGAUAUUAUAAACUUAAAUAUUCUGCAGAAUAAUUUAUGUAUUUACUUGGAGUUGUAUUAUUUUAAAUUCAAAUGUUUUACAAAUUUAUUCUUUACCCAUGAGAUUUGGGGGCUUCUAAUCAUAGAAAAUUGCAAAUAAAAUAAAUUAGGGAAUUCCAAGAGAUAGAAAGUAAAAGUAUAUGGCCGGGCACGGUGGCUCACGCAUGUAAUACCAACACUUUGGGAGGCCGAGGUGGGCGGAUCACUUGAGGUCAGGAGUUCAAGACAAGCCUGGUCAACAUGGCGAAAGCCAGUAUCUACUGAAGAUACAAAAAUUAACUGGGCAUGGUGCUGAGUGCCUGUAAUCCCAGCUACUCUGGAAGCUGAGGAAGCAGAAUCACUUGAACCCGGUAGGUGGAAGUUGCAGUGAGCUGAGAUAGCACCACUGCACUCCAGCCUGGGAGACAGAAAGAGAUUUUGUCUCAAAAAAAAAAAAGAAGGAAAGAAAAGGAAAAAAAAAGUAGUAGAAGUAUAGCACAGAAGAAAAACAAAAGCACAAACUAAAAUCACUUCUUUUCAGCUUUUCUGACAAUGAAAACAAAAAUUUAAAAUAACUAUAACAUAAUAAUUUUUUUUUCCUUCAGAUUCUGACAACCAAUUCCUGCUGGUUUCCUUUGUGAGCUAAAAGAUAUUUAAAACACGUUAGUGGAUUUUUCCAAUGCCAUGACUAAAUUUCAGUGAUCAGUUUAAGGGUUUUUGCUGUUGUUGUUUGUUUUUCUAUCUGGGAUAAUAAAGCUUUUAGUCAUUUGGAAAUAACUGGCAAUCUGAAAGUUUUUUUAAUUUCCUGUUUUAUUUAAUUUCCCAAAGUUUAUUCAAAAAUCAUUUAUGUUGCUCACUAUGGAAUGCUAAAAAAUUCAGAACAAAGAUAAGUGGAAAGUUUCACAAGUUUAGUUUUAAAUUUAGUUUGUAAUAAAUUGAAGUUUUUGAAGAAUCAUUCUUGUUCUUCAGAUUUAGUGGUCAAUUUCACAUAUGAGAGUUCUUAAAAUAAUUGUACCCUUUAAAUAAUUCUAACCUUUAAAUUUCAGAUUGUAAUUUAAUUUAAUGUUUUUUUUUUUUUUUGAGAUAGGGUCGCUCUCUGGCUUCCAGGCCAGAGUGUAGUUGUACAAUCAUGGUUCACAGUACACUUGACCUCGCAGGCUCAAUAUAUCCUCUUCUCUCAGCCUCCCUAGUAGCAGGGAACACAGGCACAUGCCACCGAGCCUGGCUAAUUUUUUUUUAUUUUUGUAGAGACAAGGUCUCAAUAUGUUGCCCAGGCUGGUCUUGAACUCCUGGGUUUAUGUGAUCUUCCCACUUUGGCCUCCCAAAUUUCUGGGAUUACAGACGUAAGCCACCAUGACUGGCCCCUUUUCAAUUAUGUAUAUAUAUGCAUCUUAUACAUUGAUUUCAUGUCACAUAUAUCAGAAAAAAAAUGUCAGCUAUAUCAGGGUUUUUGUCAUACUUAAAAAAUAGUAUCAAAUUUGGGUAAAAUAGAUCUGGAUCAGCUAUAACUCAUAAUGGUCUCUGAGUGAUGAACUGGUAGUACCAUUACUAAUUAAGAAGAGUUUUCUUCAGAUCUGCCAUAUGAAACUCCUUAGACAAGGAGAAUGAUAAGAUGCAUGUAGAUAAUUGCUUUAUUUAGAUCAUGCUUGUAAUCUAAGCACUUUGGGAGGCCAAGGCAGGCAGAUCAUCUGAGGUCAGGAGUUCAAGACCAGCCUGACUAACGUGGAGAAACCCCGUCUCUACUAAAAAUACAAAAAUACAAAAUUAGGCGGGCAUGGUGGCGUAUGCCUGUAAUCCCAGCUACUCAGGAGGCUGAGGCAGGAGAAUCACUUGAACCUGGGAGGCAGAGGUUGUGGUGAGCCGAGAUCAUGCCAUUGCACUCCAACUUGG
RNAcentral lists this long non-coding RNA (2458 nucleotides) under Homo sapiens (human). RNAcentral's name for it is "HSALNT0133381". Lineage: Eukaryota; Metazoa; Chordata; Mammalia; Primates; Hominidae. The record is from RNAcentral.